AUUGAACGCUGGCGGCAUGCUUUACACAUGCAAGUCGAACGGUAACAGGCCUUCGGGUGCUGACGAGUGGCGAACGGGUGAGUAAUGCAUCGGAACGUGCCCAGUCGUGGGGGAUAACGCAGCGAAAGCUGUGCUAAUACCGCAUACGAUCUGCGGAUGAAAGCGGGGGACCUUGUAGCAAUAUGGGGCCUCGCGCGAUUGGAGCGGCCGAUGUCAGAUUAGGUAGUUGGUAGGGUAAAGGCCUACCAAGCCGACGAUCUGUAGCUGGUCGGAGAGGACGACCAGCCACACUGUGACCGAGACACGGCACAGACUUCUACGGGAGGCAGCAGUGGGGAAUUUUGGACAAUGGGCGCAAGCCUGAUCCAGCAAUGCCGCGUGCAGGAAGAAGGCCUUCGGGUUGUAAACUGCUUUUGUACGGAACGAAACGGCUCUGGUUAAUACCUGGGGCACAUGACGGUACCGUAAGAAUAAGCACCGGCUAACUACGUGCCAGCAGCCGCAGUAA
This 508-nucleotide ribosomal RNA is filed under the name uncultured bacterium. Its description in RNAcentral is "partial 16S ribosomal RNA". It matches the Rfam family "Bacterial small subunit ribosomal RNA", at positions 30 to 523 of the family's 1533-position model. The record is from RNAcentral.